CUACUGGUGGUUGAAAACACAAGAAUAAAAGCAUACAGAAAGAGGACCUUAAGAAAAAAACAAUCCAGCAAGACUUUCAAAAGACAGAAUUAGUGACAUCAUUAGUGAUAUUACUGGAACCCAUCUGCAGCCAGAAUCUACUCCACUCCUCCACCCAACUGCCCAAAGCUGGAUGGUGAGCAAGACAUUCCAACCAGCCAGUGUGAAAUCUUCACCCUCUCUAGUCUCCAGUCCAUCCAGCACCUCACUUUCGAUGGGUUUGGUGGAGGAAAAGAAAAAUAAAAUACAUCUGGCCAGUUUUGCCCAGAGUCACUGUAAGGUGAUCAUCAGGGAGGCAAGAGGAAGCAGAAGGCCCUGUUAUGUGCCAGAGAGAAUGAAGGGCAUGCUGUAAACAGUAUCUAUGUGCCAAAUGCUACUGAAUCUUUCAACAGAUCAUUGAGCAGUCAACAGCUCUGGUCUGGAAAUACACUGACUGUUUGUAGAGAAAAGUCCACAACCAAACUGGUCCUUUGGAUAUCUGGCUGCUAUGAUUUUGGAAAAAAAAAAAAUAUCUCACAGCAUUAGUACAUUUAUAUACAUAAGGGAAGCAAAUUAUCUGCUGAAAUUCAUGACACUACACAUUAAAUUUAAAAACUAAAGCUUUUUACACAUAAGUUCCUCCAAAACAUUUUGUCCUCUAACAUCAACAGCAACAGAAGAAGCUGGUGGCUGGUGUGAGAAUCUUAAUUGAAGUGACAGCAAGACUUUGCCAGUUAAGUAUAUUUUUAUGUCAAGAAGAAAAAAUAGAAAAUGUCAAAAUAUACCUAAAAGUAACUACAAGCAUGUAAGCUAAUAAAAUUAGUUUGCCCUUCA
This 852-nucleotide long non-coding RNA is filed under the name Cyanistes caeruleus (blue tit). Its description in RNAcentral is "lncRNA (ENSCCEG00000023987.1)". The record is from RNAcentral. Lineage: Eukaryota; Metazoa; Chordata; Aves; Passeriformes; Paridae.